Molecule: ribosomal RNA, 425 nt
Filed under: uncultured bacterium
Lineage: Bacteria
Description: partial 16S ribosomal RNA
Rfam family: Bacterial small subunit ribosomal RNA
Source: RNAcentral
GUGGGGAAUAUUGGACAAUGGGCGCAAGCCUGAUCCAGCCAUGCCGCGUGAGUGAUGAAGGCCCUAGGGUUGUAAAGCUCUUUCACCGAUGAAGAUAAUGACGGUAGUCGGAGAAGAAGCCCCGGCUAACUUCGUGCCAGCAGCCGCGGUAAUACGAAGGGGGCUAGCGUUGUUCGGAAUUACUGGGCGUAAAGCGAACGUAGGCGGAGAUUUAAGUCAGGGGUGAAAUCCUAGAGCUCAACUCUGGAAAGGCCUUUGAUAAUGGGGAUAUCGAGUAUAGAAGAGGUGAGUGGAAUUCCGAGUGUAGAGGUGAAAUUCGUAGAUAUUCGGAGGAACACCAGUGGCGAAGGCGGCUCACUGGUCCAUUACUGACGCUGAGGUGCGAAAGCGUGGGGAGCAAACAGGAUUAGAAACCCCAGUAGUCC